UUUCCCUCAGGACAGCUAGUGCUCUCCUAAAACCCAGCCCACACAGUUUUAUCCAGUAAAGUGAAUAUUAGAGGUCCUGGGGCCAAAAUGAUCUCAACCUCUUCUCAAACUUUAAAUGGGUAAGAUUAUUAUUGUUAUUAUUUUUUUUUAAUUUAAUUUAAUUUAAUUUUU
Macaca mulatta (Rhesus monkey) is the source of this 171-nucleotide non-coding RNA. Lineage: Eukaryota; Metazoa; Chordata; Mammalia; Primates; Cercopithecidae. The record is from Rfam.